This 1441-nucleotide ribosomal RNA is filed under the name uncultured organism. Its description in RNAcentral is "16S ribosomal RNA". It matches the Rfam family "Bacterial small subunit ribosomal RNA". The record is from RNAcentral.
CAGGCUUAACACAUGCAAGUCGAGGGGCAUCAGGAAGAAAGCUUGCUUUCUUUGCUGGCGACCGGCGCACGGGUGAGUAACACGUAUCCAACCUGCCCUUUACUCGGGGAUAGCCUUUCGAAAGAAAGAUUAAUACCCGAUGGCAUAAUGAUUCCGCAUGGUUUCAUUAUUAAAGGAUUCCGGUAAAGGAUGGGGAUGCGUUCCAUUAGGUUGUUGGUGAGGUAACGGCUCACCAAGCCUUCGAUGGAUAGGGGUUCUGAGAGGAAGGUCCCCCACAUUGGAACUGAGACACGGUCCAAACUCCUACGGGAGGCAGCAGUGAGGAAUAUUGGUCAAUGGGCGCUAGCCUGAACCAGCCAAGUAGCGUGAAGGAUGAAGGCUCUAUGGGUCGUAAACUUCUUUUAUAUAAGAAUAAAGUGCAGUAUGUAUACUGUUUUGUAUGUAUUAUAUGAAUAAGGAUCGGCUAACUCCGUGCCAGCAGCCGCGGUAAUACGGAGGAUCCGAGCGUUAUCCGGAUUUAUUGGGUUUAAAGGGAGCGUAGGUGGACUGGUAAGUCAGUUGUGAAAGUUUGCGGCUCAACCGUAAAAUUGCAGUUGAUACUGUCAGUCUUGAGUACAGUAGAGGUGGGCGGAAUUCGUGGUGUAGCGGUGAAAUGCUUAGAUAUCACGAAGAACUCCGAUUGCGAAGGCAGCUCACUGGACUGCAACUGACACCGAUGCUCGAAAGUGUGGGUAUCAAACAGGAUUAGAUACCCUGGUAGUCCACACAGUAAACGAUGAAUACUCGCUGUUUGCGAUAUACAGUAAGCGGCCAAGCGAAAGCAUUAAGUAUUCCACCUGGGGAGUACGCCGGCAACGGUGAAACUCAAAGGAAUUGACGGGGGCCCGCACAAGCGGAGGAACAUGUGGUUUAAUUCGAUGAUACGCGAGGAACCUUACCCGGGCUUAAAUUGCAGUGGAAUGAUGUGGAAACAUGUCAGUGAGCAAUCACCGCUGUGAAGGUGCUGCAUGGUUGUCGUCAGCUCGUGCCGUGAGGUGUCGGCUUAAGUGCCAUAACGAGCGCAACCCUUAUCUUUAGUUACUAACAGGUUAUGCUGAGGACUCUAGAGAGACUGCCGUCGUAAGAUGUGAGGAAGGUGGGGAUGACGUCAAAUCAGCACGGCCCUUACGUCCGGGGCUACACACGUGUUACAAUGGGGGGUACAGAAGGCAGCUAGCGGGUGACCGUAUGCUAAUCCCAAAAGCCUCUCUCAGUUCGGAUCGAAGUCUGCAACCCGACUUCGUGAAGCUGGAUUCGCUAGUAAUCGCGCAUCAGCCACGGCGCGGUGAAUACGUUCCCGGGCCUUGUACACACCGCCCGUCAAGCCAUGGGAGCCGGGGGUACCUGAAGUACGUAACCGCAAGGAUCGUCCUAGGGUAAAACUGGUGACUGGGGCUAAGUC